ACCGAGGUAAUGCCCUAGCAUAACGGCGAGUGAACAGGCAAGAGCUCAGAUUUGAAAGGCACUUUUGUGCCGUUGUAUUCUGAAGUUAGGGUCCUGAGAAACGAUGCUUAAGUCUUCUGGAAAGGAGCGCCAUGGAGGGUGAUAGCCCCGUCUAGCAUUGACCUCAUAUAGGAUCUUAACAUGGAGUCGAGUUGUUUGGGAAUGCAGCUCAAAUGGGUGGUAUGCUCCAUCUAAAGCUAAAUAUCUGCGAGAGACCGAUAGUAAACAAGUACUGUGAGGGAAAGAUGAAAAGAACUUUGAAAAGAGAGUGAAAAAGUACGUGAAAUUGUUGAAAUGGAAGGGUAGGCCGCUAACCAUGUAGAGCCGUGUUUGGGGGGAAGAUAAAUGCUGUAGAAUGUAGCUCCUCGGAGUAUUAUAGAUGCAGUUCAUAUUCCCACCCGAGCGCGAGGAUCUCAGGUUCUACUAAAUGGUGGUCUACCACCCGUCUUGAAC
Molecule: ribosomal RNA, 492 nt
Filed under: Starmerella bacillaris
Lineage: Eukaryota; Fungi; Ascomycota; Dipodascomycetes; Dipodascales; Trichomonascaceae
Description: eukaryotic LSU rRNA
Rfam family: Eukaryotic large subunit ribosomal RNA
Source: RNAcentral